Molecule: long non-coding RNA, 926 nt
Organism: Xenia sp. Carnegie-2017
Lineage: Eukaryota; Metazoa; Cnidaria; Anthozoa; Malacalcyonacea; Xeniidae
Exons: 2
Source: RefSeq, a predicted model, not a curated record
CUAACACGAGUCCUUGAUUUUUUCAAAUUUGGGCCAAUGAUUCGGAGCUGGUGCAUGCGAUAUGAAGCAAAGCACAGUUACUUUAAAAGAUUGGCUUCAUACCUUAGAAACUUCACUAAUGUUGCACUUAGCCUUGCUGAAUGACAUCAAACCAGAAGUUGCUAUCUAAGAAAUCAACCCAUUGCAAAAAAGCCUCAAAUUGAUUCUGCAAAAGAAAUUGUUGCUAAGGAUAGUGAACAUUAUUAUUUGCUCAAAGAGAAGGAACCUAACUUAAGUGACAUUAGUAUUUUGUCAAGGUAAAGUACACAUAGUGAUUAUUUUUAUUACAGAAGAUGGUGACUAUUGCGAGAAAAAAUUGCUAGUACUUUAUAAAAUGAAACCAUGGCUGAAAUCUGACUCUUAGACAAUUUUAAAUCCAACCCAGAUCCAUUAUGCGCUUAAUUUGCGUCUUAGUAAGCAUAAGCAUGUCAGGGCCGUCAAGGUCUUUUUUGGUAAGUCGUAUAGUCAGUGCGGUUCCUUCUCUGACUGCCUUUGCCAGGUUAUUUUUCUGAGCCGUUGAAAGUGUAACACCGUGAACUGUGUAGUUAUUACGUCCACCACCUUUAGCAGCUGCGCCACUUUUCCUAACUACACCACUACCAGCAACUGCUUUUUGCGUGCUGCCGGUGAUAGCACCUGAUAUAGCUGCUAGGCCUAGGGACUGUAACACUUUUGGUAUGAGUUUAGUGACCGUAGGUAUGAGUUUUCCAAUAGGAUUUCCAAUAAAGCUACUUCCUUCUAUACUCUUUACCCAGGAAGAUAAAUACCAGCGCCUUUAAAUUCUUGAGUGAUUCCUCGCUCCAUGGCGGGUCUGAGAGCUUCAACAAAUAUUGCGUUAUUAAUGUCCGACAUUUUUGUGCACAUGCAAAACAAUUUGCGUAUAUAAA